Molecule: non-coding RNA, 1193 nt
Organism: Coffea arabica (coffee)
Lineage: Eukaryota; Viridiplantae; Streptophyta; Magnoliopsida; Gentianales; Rubiaceae
Source: RefSeq, a predicted model, not a curated record
AGCAAGUCUUCUUCUCCGCCGUGAAACUUUCCGGUUUCUUAUGUCCCCGUCACAAAGUUUCCACGGUCCAGUUCGCUAUUUGUGUUCUGGUCUUUCUUUUUUCAAAAAGAAAAGAAAGAAAUUGUCUUCCAAUCCAGAUGAGGAUCAGGCGUAGGAUGGAUUGAAAACUAGUUUGAUCAGGCUAGGUUUCUAGAGUUGAAUUUUGUAAAAUUGUAGUUGUAUGACUUUUGUAUCUUAAUAAUUUAUAUUUGUUGAGAGUUUAGUGUGAAGGAUUGUAAGAGUGAUUUUCCAUGUUUGGAAUUUUUGUAAGUUUAUUCAAAGGUAUAUGUAAUGGUUAGUUUGUAUUUAUAAGUUUGAUAGUCGGCUUUGUAGAAAACUCCUCUCGGUUUUCUCUAGGUUCACUUCAACUCUAUCCUAUGCUUAGAAUCGAGGAUAUGAAGAACAUGUCCAUAAAAUAGAAGUAGAAUGAAAAGAGGCGCAAGCUUCACAGCUAGAUAGGCAGCUCAUCAUCGGAAAUCUUAUAUUGACCAUUAUUGCCUAAUAACUCGGUUCCUUGUGUAGAGCCACCAUCUUCGCCAGGCUACCACUCGGACUGGAUCUAAGAAAGAACUAACCAAACUGGCUUGACCGACUGGAUCUCUCAACCAUAAGGAGAGGAAAAGGCAAUGUUUCAGGGAGGAUCCCAUCGAGUGGAGGAUUGAAAGCGGCCUACUUGAGAAUGGCUCCUUUGACUUUGCUUGAAACCAGCUUGGUAUUGGCAACUCCACUUGGAGAGCUAGAAGGCAAGGCAGGAACUAGAUCCCAAACGUGCUACUUCUUCGCUUCUUUGCUUGCUGGCUUUCCUGAAAUGACUGAAGCUGGCUUGAUUGAAUGAAUGGACAGCUACGGAUUGGCACGCUGAACUCAUACCCGGAAUCAUAAUCUAAACUCGGGCGAUCAAGAAGGUCUCGAAGAGAAUCUCGAAGUGGAUCAUUGACGACUUUCUUUACUCACUUAUUUUGGUUGGGUUUGAGACCAAGUGCUCGUAAAUAGUGCUAGAUUGUUUUCUUUCGGGGAAAAUUUUAAGUUGUAUUACAGCAGAUGGCUGUAGUAAAUAUUCUUUUGGGUUGUAUUAAGUUUGAGAGCUGACUAAUUGUAAGUAUGAAGUGUUUUGGAGUACUUUAAAUAUAUAUAUAUUGAAGUUAUUUAAAGUA